Molecule: non-coding RNA, 45 nt
Filed under: Schistosoma curassoni
Lineage: Eukaryota; Metazoa; Platyhelminthes; Trematoda; Strigeidida; Schistosomatidae
Source: RNAcentral
GUCCAACGGAUGAGUGCCAAAUAGGACGAAACACGUCUCUUGGAU